CAGAGGGGGCAAGCGUUGUUCGGAAUUACUGGGCGUAAAGGGCGCGUAGGCGGCCUGCUAAGUCGAACGUGAAAUCCCCGGGCUCAACCCGGGAACUGCGUCCGAUACUGGUAGGCUUGAAUUCGGGAGAGGGAUGCGGAAUUCCAGGUGUAGCGGUGAAAUGCGUAGAUAUCUGGAGGAACACCGGUGGCGAAGGCGGCAUCCUGGACCGACAUUGACGCUGAGGCGCGAAAGCCAGGGGAGCAAACGGGAUUAGAUACCCCGGUAGUCCUGGCCCUAAACGAUGAAUGCUUGGUGUGGUGGGUAUCGAUCCCUACCGUGCCGAAGCUAACGCAUUAAGCAUUCCGCCUGGGGAGUACGGUCGCAAGGCUG
This 372-nucleotide ribosomal RNA is filed under the name uncultured organism. RNAcentral's name for it is "bacterial SSU rRNA". It matches the Rfam family "Bacterial small subunit ribosomal RNA", at positions 526 to 896 of the family's 1533-position model. The record is from RNAcentral.